CCCUGGCUCAGGACGAACGCUGGCGGCGUGCCUAAUACAUGCAAGUCGAGCGGAGUUGAUGAGGUGCUUGCACCUCUGAUACUUAGCGGCGGACGGGUGAGUAACACGUGGGUAACCUGCCUAUAAGACUGGGAUAACAUUCGGAAACGAAUGCUAAUACCGGAUACGCGAUUUGGUCGCAUGAUCGAAUCGGGAAAGAUGGAGCAAUCUAUCACUUAUAGAUGGACCCGCGGCGCAUUAGCUAGUUGGUGAGGUAACGGCUCACCAAGGCGACGAUGCGUAGCCGACCUGAGAGGGUGAUCGGCCACACUGGGACUGAGACACGGCCCAGACUCCUACGGGAGGCAGCAGUAGGGAAUCUUCCGCAAUGGACGAAAGUCUGACGGAGCAACGCCGCGUGAGUGAUGAAGGUUUUCGGAUCGUAAAGCUCUGUUGCCAGGGAAGAAUGCUUGGGAGAGUAACUGCUCUCCAAGGUGACGGUACCUGAGAAGAAAGCCCCGGCUAACUA
RNAcentral lists this ribosomal RNA (508 nucleotides) under Paenibacillaceae bacterium CL5.49. RNAcentral's name for it is "bacterial SSU rRNA". It matches the Rfam family "Bacterial small subunit ribosomal RNA", at positions 17 to 503 of the family's 1533-position model. Lineage: Bacteria; Bacillati; Bacillota; Bacilli; Caryophanales; Paenibacillaceae. The record is from RNAcentral.